GUCCACGCCCUAAACGAUGUCUACUAGUUGUUGGGAGAGUAAAUCUCUUAGUAACGCAGCUAACGCGUGAAGUAGACCGCCUGGGGAGUACGGUCGCAAGAUUAAAACUCAAAGGAAUUGACGGGGGCCCGCACAAGCGGUGUAUUAUGUGGAUUAAUUCGAUGCAACGCGAAAACCUUACCUGGCCUUGACAUGUACCGAAUUUGUGAGAUAUCACUUAGUGCUCGAAAGAGAACGGUAACACAGGUGCUGCAUGGCUGUCGU
This 264-nucleotide ribosomal RNA is filed under the name uncultured bacterium. RNAcentral describes it as "partial 16S ribosomal RNA". It matches the Rfam family "Bacterial small subunit ribosomal RNA", at positions 793 to 1055 of the family's 1533-position model. The record is from RNAcentral.